AAAACAAGAUAGAAUAAAAAAAAAGAAAAGAAGAAAAAAAAAAAAAAAAUCAAAUAUAUAUUUUGAUCGAAUAAAAUGUCUUACUUCGUUUU
Molecule: non-coding RNA, 92 nt
Filed under: Symbiodinium sp. clade D
Lineage: Eukaryota; Dinophyceae; Suessiales; Symbiodiniaceae
Source: RNAcentral